UACGUAGGGGGCAAGCGUUGUCCGGAAUCAUUGGGCGUAAAGCGCGUGUAGGCGGCCUUGUAAGUCCGUUCUGAAAGCCCGGGGCUCAACCCCGGGAGGCGGAUGGAUACUGCAAGGCUCGAGUACGGAAGAGGCGAGUGGAAUUCCCGGUGUAGCGGUGAAAUGCGCAGAUAUCAGGAAGAACACCAAUGGCGAAGGCAGCUCUCUGGGACGGUACUGACGCUGAGACGCGAAAGCGUGGGGAGCGAACAGG
Molecule: ribosomal RNA, 253 nt
Filed under: uncultured bacterium
Lineage: Bacteria
Description: partial 16S ribosomal RNA
Rfam family: Bacterial small subunit ribosomal RNA
Source: RNAcentral